GAGUUUGAUCUGGCUCAGAACGAACGCUGGCGGCAGGCUUAACACAUGCAAGUCGAACGAAGCCUUCGGGCUUAGUGGCGGACGGGUGAGUAACGCGUGGGAACGUGCCCUUCUCUACGGAACAGUCCCGGGAAACUGGGUUUAAUACCGUAUACGCCCUUUUGGGGAAAGAUUUAUCGGAGAAGGAUCGGCCCGCGUUGGAUUAGGUAGUUGGUGGGGUAAUGGCCUACCAAGCCCGCGAUCCAUAGCUGGUUUGAGAGGAUGAUCAGCCACACUGGGACUGAGACACGGCCCAGACUCCUACGGGAGGCAGCAGUGGGGAAUCUUAGACAAUGGGGGAAACCCUGAUCUAGCCAUGCCGCGUGAGCGAUGAAGGCCUUAGGGUUGUAAAGCUCUUUCGCUGGGGAAGAUAAUGACGGUACCCAGUAAAGAAGCCCCGGCUAACUCCGUGCCAGCAGCCGCGGUAAUACGGAGGGGGCUAGCGUUGUUCGGAAUUACUGGGCGUAAAGCGCGCGUAGGCGGAUUGGAAAGUUGGGGGUGAAAUCCCGGGGCUCAACCCCGGAACUGCCUCCAAAACUAUCAGUCUUGAGUUCGAGAGAGGUGAGUGGAAUUGCGAGUGUAGAGGUGAAAUUCGUAGAUAUUCGCAGGAACACCAGUGGCGAAGGCGGCUCACUGGCUCGAUACUGACGCUGAGGUGCGAAAGUGUGGGGAGCAAACAGGAUUAGAUACCCUGGUAGUCCACACCGUAAACGAUGAAUGCCAGUCGUCGGCAAGCAUGCUUGUCGGUGACACACCUAACGGAUUAAGCAUUCCGCCUGGGGAGUACGGUCGCAAGAUUAAAACUCAAAGGAAUUGACGG
This 859-nucleotide ribosomal RNA is filed under the name uncultured bacterium. RNAcentral describes it as "bacterial SSU rRNA". It matches the Rfam family "Bacterial small subunit ribosomal RNA", at positions 9 to 916 of the family's 1533-position model. The record is from RNAcentral.